CUAACCUCCUCCCCUGGCUGUUCCUGAGGCUGACCUUUUCUGUGCCUACCGAGUCAUUCUGGAGUUCAAGAAGGGCCAGGAGUCCACCUUGUCCCCUGGGAGUCUGAGAGAGAUAAAGAUUUUUCCAAGCCACAAGCCACCCCCUUCUGAUCAUGUGCAAGCAGGAGGCCACCAACAGAAGGCCACAUCAUAAUAUCACUGCGAUGGAAGGAAAACAAGAAGUAGCAGCCAUGUCCAUCUAGUGGUGGUUCUCUCUCUGCCACCCCAACAAAACCUUCUGCUUUCAGAAGCGUAUUCUUAGCCAGAUCCCUUUAUUUUUCUUCACAGCUUUCAGUUCAGCUUGAAGUAGCCUCUUGUGAAGCUUCCAGUAUAUGUGCGAUUCAUGAGCCAGUCCCUCAACACGAACAGUCUUGCCAAGGCCUUGUCUCAGGAUCUCUUCAU
Hemicordylus capensis (graceful crag lizard) is the source of this 441-nucleotide long non-coding RNA. RefSeq lists it as uncharacterized. The transcript has 3 exons. Lineage: Eukaryota; Metazoa; Chordata; Lepidosauria; Squamata; Cordylidae. The record is from RefSeq and is a predicted model, not a curated record.